RNAcentral lists this ribosomal RNA (492 nucleotides) under uncultured bacterium. RNAcentral describes it as "partial 16S ribosomal RNA". It matches the Rfam family "Bacterial small subunit ribosomal RNA", at positions 29 to 507 of the family's 1533-position model. The record is from RNAcentral.
AGUGAACGCUGGCGGUAGGCCUAACACAUGCAAGUCGAACGGCAGCACAGUAAGAGCUUGCUCUUACGGGUGGCGAGUGGCGGACGGGUGAGGAAUACAUCGGAAUCUACUUUUUCGUGGGGGUUAACGUAGGGAAACUUACGCUAAUACCGCAUACGACCUACGGGUGAAAGCAGGGGAUCUUCGGACCUUGCGCGAUUGAAUGAGCCGAUGUCGGAUUAGCUAGUUGGCGGGGUAAAGGCCCACCAAGGCGACGAUCCGUAGCUGGUCUGAGAGGAUGAUCAGCCACACUGGAACUGAGACACGGUCCAGACGCCUACGGGAGGCAGCAGUGGGGAAUAUUGGACAAUGGGCGCAAGCCUGAUCCAGCCAUACCGCGUGGGUGAAGAAGGCCUUCGGGUUGUAAAGCCCUUUUGUUGGGAAAGAAAAGCAGCAGGUUAAUACCCCGCUGUUCUGACGGUACCCAAAGAAUAAGCACCGGCUAACUUCGUG